RNAcentral lists this ribosomal RNA (377 nucleotides) under uncultured eukaryote. Its description in RNAcentral is "partial 18S ribosomal RNA". It matches the Rfam family "Eukaryotic small subunit ribosomal RNA", at positions 592 to 976 of the family's 1831-position model. The record is from RNAcentral.
CAAUAGCGUAUAUUUAAGUUGCUGCAGUUAAAAAGCUCGUAGUUGGAUUUCGGGUGGGAAUGGCCGGUCCGCCGUUUCUGUGUGCACUUGCUACGCCCACCUUGCUGCCGGGGACGUGCUCUUGAGUUCACGCUCGGGACACGGAGUCGGCGAGGUUACUUUGAGUAAAUUAGAGUGUUCAAAGCAGGCCUACGCUCUGAAUACAUUAGCAUGGAAUAACACGAUAGGACUCUGGCCUAUCUUGUUGGUCUGUAGGACCGGAGUAAUGAUUAAGAGGGACAGUCGGGGGCAUUCGUAUUUCAUUGUCAGAGGUGAAAUUCUUGGAUUUAUGAAAGACGAACUACUGCGAAAGCAUUUGCCAAGGAUGUUUUCAUUAA